Molecule: ribosomal RNA, 253 nt
Filed under: uncultured bacterium
Lineage: Bacteria
Description: partial 16S ribosomal RNA
Rfam family: Bacterial small subunit ribosomal RNA
Source: RNAcentral
UACGUAGGGGGCGAGCGUUGUCCGGAAUUACUGGGCGUAAAGCGCGCGUAGGCGGCUUUGCAAGUCGGGUGUGAAAUCCCCAGGCUUAACCUGGGAACUGCAUUCGAGACUGCAUUGCUAGAGUAUGGGAGAGGGAAGUGGAAUUUCCGGUGUAGCGGUGAAAUGCGUAGAUAUCGGAAGGAACAUCAGUGGCGAAAGCGACUUCCUGGGCCAAUACUGACGCUCAUGUGCGAAAGCGUGGGGAGCAAACAGG